UCUAAUAUGGCAGAUUAGUGCAAAAGAUUUAAGCUCUUUAUAUAAAGUUUCCACUUUUAUUAGAA
Molecule: transfer RNA, 65 nt
Filed under: Habrophlebiodes zijinensis
Lineage: Eukaryota; Metazoa; Arthropoda; Insecta; Ephemeroptera; Leptophlebiidae
Description: tRNA-Leu
Rfam family: tRNA
About the family: Transfer RNA (tRNA) molecules are approximately 80 nucleotides in length. Their secondary structure includes four short double-helical elements and three loops (D, anti-codon, and T loops). Further hydrogen bonds mediate the characteristic L-shaped molecular structure. tRNAs have two regions of fundamental functional importance: the anti-codon, which is responsible for specific mRNA codon recognition, and the 3' end, to which the tRNAs corresponding amino acid is attached (by aminoacyl-tRNA synthetases). tRNAs cope with the degeneracy of the genetic code in two manners: having more than one tRNA (with a specific anti-codon) for a particular amino acid; and 'wobble' base-pairing, i.e. permitting non-standard base-pairing at the 3rd anti-codon position.
Source: RNAcentral